AUGAUUUAAUUAAAAGAUUCCAUUAAAAUACCAGCUCUUCCACUUGCUAUCACAUUGAACUUUGCCGUCCUUGCCAUAAAAUAAUUCCAACCUAUCAAUUUCAUCAGCAUCACGACCCUUUGUUUCAGGAAGCAAAAGUGUGAAAAGAAUGCCACCCCACAUGCAUCCGCAGAAAAUCCACAUAACGUUACCAUAUCCAAUAACACCGGUCAAAAAGUUAAAAAGAAGUGAUGCAAGAAUAGCGCCACAUUUACCCAAAGCAGCUGAAACACCAUGAGCAGUACCACGUACGCGUGCAGGGAAAACCUCAGCGGGAUAAAUAAAAGUGGUGGAGUUGGGACCAAAGUUAGAAAACAGUUGGGCAAUAACAAAACAAGCAAAUCGACCACCAGUGGAAAUUUCGUUCCAACGUCCUGCCAAAAUUGCAAACAUCAAACCAGUAAUCACGAAGCCUUGUAGUUGAAUCCAUUUACGUCCAAGAAUUUCAACAAGGAAGACGUUGAACCAGUAUCCAGGAACAUAGCCGGCAACAGCGAUAAUCAAGUUGCCAAUUGCGUUUUUCAUCAAUGUGCGGUAUUCGUUCGUACCAGUACUGAAGCCAAUAUUCUUGAGAAUGACAGAUUGAUUAAGAUUGACACCGUAAAAGGCAAUAUCCAACAGAAACCAACAAACAGAUGUACCCAAAAGAUGCUUAAAAUGACGCCAUUGUCUGAAGUAAGUGAUAAAUCCACUGCUGUUUUCAGGGGUUGUAACUGCGGCAAAUUGUUUUUCAAUGUUAUCAACUUCAGCGUCAGCAGCAUCUGCUUGAUUAGCAUAACGAUCAGAAGCUUCGACAACCUCGGAGUCACCAUGGCUAGAUGACUUCUUCAUAUUGUCCUCAUCAUCGGUAUUGAAGAAUGCCUUUGGAUCUUUUCCUUCAGCACUAUUAAGUGCUUUAGAAUUCUCGUAUGAUUUAGAUUCUUUCAUGAUGAGACGGGGAAUAAGAACACCAAUAGCAGGAACCAAAGCAAGACCAAAUUGAAGACGCCAGACACCUUCGAGUUUAUGAUAAUGACCUUCCCGAUUCAAUGGAUGUUCGAAACAACCCAAAAGGAUGAUGGUAACAAUGGCACCAGCAAGAGUUCCGAAACCUUGGAAGGCAAAAAUUAAAGAAAUAAGUGUACCACGUCGUUUAAUUUUACUACGCUCAGAAGUGAUAGCGGCAGACAUUGGAUAAUCACCACCAAUACCUACACCGAGCAACCAACGCCAACAGAAAACCCACAUCAUUUUCGAAAGAGGAGAAUGAAUGCUUUUAGGCAUAGCGAUAACCAGAACAGUAGCGAUGAUAACAAUAACCAUUUCUUUACCGUAGACAAAUUUACGGCCAAAGAAAUCACCCAUAAAACCAAAUAACAGUUGUCCAAAAAUGUUACCAAUAUUGGCUGACGCAUUUACAAGACCACGAAUACCAGAGGGAUAAUGGCCUUUUCCUGUGGGACCUUUUUCAAUACCACCCCAAUAAAGAUAUUCAAAAAUGGGAGUAACUAAAUUGAUGAUAAAAAGAUCGUAACUGUCAAGGAAAAACCCGACACCUGCAAGCAUCAUAAGUUUAAAUUCGCGCUUUGUCAACCCCAAGUAAUAGCGACGCUCUUGCGCACCCUCUUCGACUUGGUCGAGAGGUACUGCAUCGUCGUUAUACUCAUCAGACUUAGAUCCAAUGUUUAAAAUUUUGCUCCCAAAUGCCAUCUUGUGAUUUCCUUGCGUUCAAAAUAUGAGAGAAAAGGAAAGCAAUGAAUGAUAAAGUAAGUCUUAAUCGCUGCUUUAUGCAAAUUAAUGAAGUCCGAAUGCGGUUGCAAUUAGAAUUAAGAAAACUGAGUACCGGUGGUUUACACACACAGAUAAUUCAGUAUGCAAUGGAGCAAUAUAUAUAGUAAACUACCAGUUUGUCAGAUUGGUGGCUUUGUUAUAGAAAAAAAAUUAAUAAUUAAGAUCAAAAGCUUUGGUGUUGACGUUCCCUGGCAACCGGCACAUUCACCACCUGCUUAAUCUUAUUUCAAAACAAAAUAGCAAAACAGGAAGAAAU
Schizosaccharomyces pombe (fission yeast) is the source of this 2065-nucleotide non-coding RNA. The record is from the annotation of a GenBank genome assembly. NCBI's taxonomy places the organism in Eukaryota, Fungi, Ascomycota, Schizosaccharomycetes, Schizosaccharomycetales, Schizosaccharomycetaceae.